CCUACGGGUGGCAGCAGUGGGGAAUAUUGCACAAUGGGCGCAAGCCUGAUGCAGCCAUGCCGCGUGUAUGAAGAAGGCCUUCGGGUUGUAAAGUACUUUCAGUCGUGAGGAAGGUGUUAAGGUUAAUAACCUUAGCAAUUGACGUUAGCGACAGAAGAAGCACCGGCUAACUCCGCGCCAGCAGCUGCGGUAAUACGGAGGGUGCGAGCGUUAACCGGAAUUACUGGGCGUAAAGGGCACGCAGGCGGUUAAUUAAGUUGAAUGUGAAAUCCACGGGCUUAACCUGGGAAUGGCAAUCAAGACUGGUUAGCUAGAGUCUUGUAGAGGGGAGUAGAAUUCCAUGUGUAGCGGUGAAAUGCGUAGAGAAGUGGAGGAAUACCGGUAGCGAAGGCGGCCCCCUGGACAAAGACUGACACUCAUGUGAGAAAGCAUGGGAAGCAAACAGGAUUAGAUACCCUAGUAGUC
Molecule: ribosomal RNA, 465 nt
Filed under: uncultured Arsenophonus sp.
Lineage: Bacteria; Pseudomonadati; Pseudomonadota; Gammaproteobacteria; Enterobacterales; Morganellaceae
Description: bacterial SSU rRNA
Rfam family: Bacterial small subunit ribosomal RNA
Source: RNAcentral